GGAGGGUGCAAACGUUGCUCGGAUUUACUGGGCGUAAAGCGCAUGCAGGCGGUCUGCAAAGUUUCGUGUGAAAGCCCUGGGCUCAACCCAGGAAGUGCACGGAAAACUGGCAGACUAGAGUACUGGAGAAGUGGGCGGAAUUCCCGGUGUAGAGGUGAAAUUCGUAGAUAUCGGGAGGAACACCAGCAGCGAAAGCGGCUCACUUGACAGAUACUGACGCUCAGAUGCGAAAGCGUGGGGGGAGCAAACAGGAUUAGAUACCCUGGUAGUCCACGCCGUAAACGAUGGGCACUAGGUGUCGGGGGCUUGACCCCCCCCCUUCGGCGCCGCCGCUAACGCAUUAAGUGCCCCCGCCUGGGGACUACGGUCGCAAGACUA
Molecule: ribosomal RNA, 378 nt
Filed under: uncultured organism
Description: partial 16S ribosomal RNA
Rfam family: Bacterial small subunit ribosomal RNA
Source: RNAcentral